AACGAACGCUGGCGGCAUGCCUAACACAUGCAAGUCGAACGAGACCUUCGGGUCUAGUGGCGCACGGGUGCGUAACGCGUGGGAACCUGCCCUUAGGUUCGGAAUAACUCCCCGAAAGGGGUGCUAAUACCGGAUAAUGUCUUCGGACCAAAGAUUUAUCGCCUGUGGAUGGGCCCGCGUUGGAUUAGCUAGUUGGUAGGGUAAAGCCUACCAAGGCGACGAUUCAUAGCUGGUCUGAGAGGAUGAUCAGCCACACUGGGACUGAGACACGGCCCAGACUCCUACGGGAGGCAGCAGUGGGGAAUAUUGGACAAUGGGCGAAAGCCUGAUCCAGCAAUGCCGCGUGAGUGAUGAAGGCCUUAGGGUUGUAAAGCUCUUUUACCCGGGAUGAUAAUGACAGUACCGGGAGAAUAAGCUCCGGCUAACUCCGUG
RNAcentral lists this ribosomal RNA (432 nucleotides) under uncultured bacterium. RNAcentral's name for it is "partial 16S ribosomal RNA". It matches the Rfam family "Bacterial small subunit ribosomal RNA", at positions 29 to 507 of the family's 1533-position model. The record is from RNAcentral.